AUACUUACCUGGCAGGGGACAUACCAUGAUCACAAAGGUGGAUUUCCCAGGGAAAGGUUUAUCCAUUGCACUCUUGAUGUGCUUACCCCUGUGAUUUCCCCAAAUGUGGGAAACUCGGCUACAUAAUUUGUAGUAAUGGGGGAACUACAUUUGUGCUCUCUCCUG
Molecule: small nuclear RNA, 165 nt
Filed under: Castor canadensis (American beaver)
Lineage: Eukaryota; Metazoa; Chordata; Mammalia; Rodentia; Castoridae
Description: U1 spliceosomal RNA (ENSCCNG00000008463.1)
Rfam family: U1 spliceosomal RNA
About the family: U1 is a small nuclear RNA (snRNA) component of the spliceosome (involved in pre-mRNA splicing). Its 5' end forms complementary base pairs with the 5' splice junction, thus defining the 5' donor site of an intron. There are significant differences in sequence and secondary structure between metazoan and yeast U1 snRNAs, the latter being much longer (568 nucleotides as compared to 164 nucleotides in human).
Source: Rfam by way of RNAcentral